RNAcentral lists this transfer RNA (79 nucleotides) under Podarcis lilfordi (Lilford's wall lizard). RNAcentral describes it as "tRNA.Lys". The stretch from base 9 to 66 matches the Rfam family "tRNA", at positions 8 to 63 of the family's 71-position model. From Rfam's summary of the family: Transfer RNA (tRNA) molecules are approximately 80 nucleotides in length. Their secondary structure includes four short double-helical elements and three loops (D, anti-codon, and T loops). Further hydrogen bonds mediate the characteristic L-shaped molecular structure. tRNAs have two regions of fundamental functional importance: the anti-codon, which is responsible for specific mRNA codon recognition, and the 3' end, to which the tRNAs corresponding amino acid is attached (by aminoacyl-tRNA synthetases). tRNAs cope with the degeneracy of the genetic code in two manners: having more than one tRNA (with a specific anti-codon) for a particular amino acid; and 'wobble' base-pairing, i.e. permitting non-standard base-pairing at the 3rd anti-codon position. The record is from RNAcentral. Lineage: Eukaryota; Metazoa; Chordata; Lepidosauria; Squamata; Lacertidae.
CAGAGGGAUAGCUCAGUAGGUAGAGCAUGAGACUCUUAAUCUCAGGGUCAUAGGUUUGAGCCCCACGUUGGGAGGAAGA